GAUGAACGCUGGCGGCGUGCCUAAUACAUGCAAGUCGAGCGAACAGACGAGGAGCUUGCUCCUCUGACGUUAGCGGCGGACGGGUGAGUAACACGUGGAUAACCUACCUAUAAGACUGGGAUAACUUCGGGAAACCGGAGCUAAUACCGGAUAAUAUAUUGAACCGCAUGGUUCAAUAGUGAAAGACGGUUUUGCUGUCACUUAUAGAUGGAUCCGCGCCGCAUUAGCUAGUUGGUAAGGUAACGGCUUACCAAGGCAACGAUGCGUAGCCGACCUGAGAGGGUGAUCGGACACACUGGAACUGAGACACGGUCCAGACUCCUACGGGAGGCAGCAGUAGGGAAUCUUCCGCAAUGGGCGAAAGCCUGACGGAGCAACGCCGCGUGUGUGAUGAAGGUCUUCGGAUCGUAAAACUCUGUUAUUAGGGAAGAACAAAUGUGUAAGUAACUAUGCACGUCUUGACGGUACCUAAUCAGAAAGCCACGGCUAACUACGUG
This 497-nucleotide ribosomal RNA is filed under the name uncultured bacterium. Its description in RNAcentral is "partial 16S ribosomal RNA". It matches the Rfam family "Bacterial small subunit ribosomal RNA", at positions 28 to 507 of the family's 1533-position model. The record is from RNAcentral.